UACGGGGGGGGCAAGCGUUGUUCGGAAUUACUGGGCGUAAAGAGCGCGCAGGCGGUCGUACAAGUCGCGUGUGAAAGCCCCCGGCUCAACUGGGGAGGGUCACGCGAUACUGUUCGACUCGAAGGCAGGAGAGGGUAGUGGAAUUCCCGGUGUAGUGGUGAAAUGCGUAGAUAUCGGGAGGAACACCAGUGGCGAAGGCGACUACCUGGCCUGUUCUUGACGCUGAGGCGCGAAAGCUAGGGUAGCAAACGGG
RNAcentral lists this ribosomal RNA (253 nucleotides) under uncultured bacterium. RNAcentral describes it as "partial 16S ribosomal RNA". It matches the Rfam family "Bacterial small subunit ribosomal RNA", at positions 524 to 776 of the family's 1533-position model. The record is from RNAcentral.